AGAUGCUGAAAGGAGCAAGGAGGCUCCUGCAGGACUGUAAGUCAUCAGGGGGAAGACUCAAGAAGCAGGAGAGAGAGAGACUGCAAAGGCCCUGCUGGAAAGGCCUGUGGAGAAGAACAAACUCUAGGCAGAAGAUGAUGGGAAGGAAAAGUCCCUCAGGGAGCUUCUGCCACCUGGGUUCUAAAGAGUAUAUGAGACAUCACUUUUCCACAACAAGGUGCCCACCAAGAUUAAUGACAUUAAUCACUAGCUGUAACAGCUAAUUCGUGGAAAGCAUCUGUGGAAAUGCUAGCCCACAACAGUGGAUUUGAAGCUGGACUAUUGCAAUUCUAUUUGCUGAGCUCAAGGAGGAGUAGUUAAUAUUGAUGUUGGUGAGAGGAGGAGCAAUACCAGUGUUCGUGGUGAGCUGUGGACCCGUCUGAAAAGACCAUAAACAUCCCAGCUGAUGGAAAAAUGGGUAUGGUUACAGUCUGGACAUGAUAUUUUUGUGUGUUAUUUCAGGAAAGAAAAGAACUCCACAUUUACAUCAUUGGAGUUCUGUACAGGUACAAGAGAUCCUGGUUACAUAGAACUUCUUGCAAAAUUGGGGCUUAAAACAAUCAAUGAGAGCCAAAUUGUCUUCUCAGAUAUACUGGUGAUUGUGUUUUAUAUUGUUAGUGUCUCUCUUUUUGAAAUAAGGGAUUCCCUGCAUGACUUGAGCUAUAGUAAUUCUAAUUUAAAGAGGAUUGCAAGAAAAGUAGUAGUCCAUUGUUAACAAUUAAUAAUAAUGUCAAGUUGUAUCUCUCUUUAUUAAAUGUGCUCUUAAUGAUGUACAGAAUGAGGGGGGAAAUCCAUAUUUAUUACAAAUAGUUAUAGCAUAUGCCUGGAAUCCUGCCAAUAUCUCACUAUGCAAACUGUCAAAUACAUCUUCCACAGCCUUUCCAAUCUUCUUCUCAAGCAUGAAAAAAACCCAACAUUUAACCAGAAUUCAAGGUGUGCUGUUAACAUCUUUGGAUGAGUCAAUAAUAAUUAGGCUUGGAAGGAUUAGAUUUCUAUUGGUAAAUGUUGAUUUCACUCUACACACACAAACCAACAAAAGAAAAAAGUUCCAUCAAUGAGGAUAAAAAUUUACAGAUAGAAAC
Mauremys reevesii (Reeves's turtle) is the source of this 1121-nucleotide long non-coding RNA. RefSeq lists it as uncharacterized. The transcript is spliced from 4 exons. Lineage: Eukaryota; Metazoa; Chordata; Testudines; Geoemydidae. The record is from RefSeq and is a predicted model, not a curated record.